This 775-nucleotide ribosomal RNA is filed under the name uncultured Neocallimastigales. RNAcentral's name for it is "partial large subunit ribosomal RNA". It matches the Rfam family "Eukaryotic large subunit ribosomal RNA", at positions 22 to 635 of the family's 3401-position model. The record is from RNAcentral. Lineage: Eukaryota; Fungi; Neocallimastigomycota; Neocallimastigomycetes; Neocallimastigales.
GUACACGCUGUGACUAGCAUAUCAAUAAGCGGAGGAAAAGAAACUAACAAGGAUUCCCCUAGUAACGGCGAGUGAAGCGGGAAGAGCUCAAAUUUGAAAUCUUAAAGGGUUUCCCUUUACGAAUUGUAGUUUAAAGAAGUGUUUUCUGUUGAGGUUUUGGUAAAAGUUCUUUGGAAUAGGACAUCAUAGAGGGUGAGAAUCCCGUAUUUGACCUUUACUUUCAACUUUGUGAUACACUUUCAAAGAGUCGGAUUGUUUGGGAAUGCAGUCCAAAAUGGGUGGUAAAUUUCAUCUAAAGCUAAAUAUUGGCGAGAGACCGAUAGCGGACAAGUACCGUGAGGGAAAGAUGAAAAGAACUUUGAAAAGAGAGUUAAACAGUACGUGAAAUUGUCAAAAGGGAAGCGUUUGACACCAGUGUUGUUUUUCUGAAAAUCAAUUAAAGAACUGCUUAUGCUAAGCUGUUUAGACUUUAUCAGCUAUACUGUUUAGUUUUGAGCUUUUCUUUAAUGCACUUUUCAGUUAACAAGUCAACAUCAAUUUCUUUUGCUGUAAAAAAGCUUGAGGAAGGUGGCUUGAGAUUCGUCUUAAGUGUUUAUAGCCUCUUGCCUAUGCAGUCGGAGAGAUUGAGGUCUGCAGCGUAGAUCCUUCGGGGCUAAAUGCAUUUGUGCUAAGUUAUAGCAUUUUAUAGACAACUUGUUGACUAUGAUUUGUCUUGUAGCUUACUCGCUUAUGUUAUUUUACCUACGCUUAGGAUGUUGAAGAUGUAGCACAUCAU